UGAGGAAUAUUGGUCAAUGGGAGCAAUCCUGAACCAGCAAUGCCGCGUGUGGGAUGACAGGGCUUCGCCUUGUAAACCACUGUCGGACGGGACGAAAGGAGGCCUCGGGCCUCUGGGACGGUACCGUCAAAGGAAGGGUCGGCUAACUACGUGCCAGCAGCCGCGGUAAUACGUAGGACCCGAGCGUUGUCCGGAUUUACUGGGUAUAAAGGGUGCGUAGGCGGCCUUGUGCGUCAGAGGUGAAAUAUCCGGGCUUAACCCGGAGGGUGCCUUUGAUACGGCAGGGCUUGAGUGCGAGAGAGGAUGAUGGAAUUCCUGGUGUAGCGGUGAAAUGCGUAGAUAUCAGGAGGAACACCGGUGGCGAAGGCGGUCAUCUGGCUCGUAACUGACGCUGAGGCACGAAAGCGCGGGGAUCAAACAGG
This 422-nucleotide ribosomal RNA is filed under the name uncultured Chlorobiota bacterium. RNAcentral describes it as "bacterial SSU rRNA". It matches the Rfam family "Bacterial small subunit ribosomal RNA", at positions 355 to 776 of the family's 1533-position model. The record is from RNAcentral. Lineage: Bacteria; Pseudomonadati; Chlorobiota.